AUGGAAAGAUGCACUCAUUUGGGACACCAUUGGCUGAUCCCAUUGUUGAUUCUUUCCUAUUUGGAGCUCCACCAGCAGUUCCCUCCACCAAUGAGGCAACCACUGCUAGGAUUGGAAGCCUACAAAACGAGGUGGCUCAGUUGGACAUGGAGAACAUGGCCGAGGAAGACCGAAACAAACUUUCCAUCCUUCUAUGAAAAGUAUCCAAGAAGAGAAUCCAAGUAUGGUGGCAAAUCUUAUCUUCACGAAGGAACAAGAUCUCGGUCUUGA
RNAcentral lists this ribosomal RNA (270 nucleotides) under Triticum aestivum (bread wheat). RNAcentral describes it as "partial small subunit ribosomal RNA". Lineage: Eukaryota; Viridiplantae; Streptophyta; Magnoliopsida; Poales; Poaceae. The record is from RNAcentral.